RNAcentral lists this ribosomal RNA (484 nucleotides) under uncultured bacterium. RNAcentral's name for it is "partial 16S ribosomal RNA". It matches the Rfam family "Bacterial small subunit ribosomal RNA", at positions 30 to 507 of the family's 1533-position model. The record is from RNAcentral.
AUUGAACGCUGGCGGCAGGCCUAACACAUGCAAGUCGAGCGGAUGAAGGGAGCUUGCUCCUGGAUUCAGCGGCGGACGGGUGAGUAAUGCCUAGGAAUCUGCCUGGUAGUGGGGGAUAACGUCCGGAAACGGGCGCUAAUACCGCAUACGUCCUGAGGGAGAAAGUGGGGGAUCUUCGGACCUCACGCUAUCAGAUGAGCCUAGGUCGGAUUAGCUAGUUGGUGGGGUAAAGGCCUACCGAGGCGACGAUCCGUAACUGGUUUGAGAGGAUGAUCAGUCACACUGGAACUGAGACACGGUCCAGACUCCUACGGGAGGCAGCAGUGGGGAAUAUUGGACAAUGGGCGAAAGCCUGAUCCAGCCAUGCCGCGUGUGUGAAGAAGGUCUUCGGAUUGUAAAGCACUUUAAGUUGGGGGGAAGGGCAGUAAGUUAAUACCUUGCUGUUUUGACGUUACCAACAGAAUAAGCACCGGCUAACUUCGUG